RNAcentral lists this ribosomal RNA (614 nucleotides) under Salmonella enterica subsp. enterica serovar Give. RNAcentral describes it as "partial 23S ribosomal RNA". It matches the Rfam family "Bacterial large subunit ribosomal RNA", at positions 2103 to 2716 of the family's 2925-position model. The record is from RNAcentral. Lineage: Bacteria; Pseudomonadati; Pseudomonadota; Gammaproteobacteria; Enterobacterales; Enterobacteriaceae.
ACUAUAGCUUGACACUGAACAUUGAGCCUUGAUGUGUAGGAUAGGUGGGAGGCUUUGAAGUGUGGACGCCAGUCUGCAUGGAGCCGACCUUGAAAUACCACCCUUUAAUGUUUGAUGUUCUAACGUGGACCCGUGAUCCGGGUUGCGGACAGUGUCUGGUGGGUAGUUUGACUGGGGCGGUCUCCUCCUAAAGAGUAACGGAGGAGCACGAAGGUUGGCUAAUCCUGGUCGGACAUCAGGAGGUUAGUGCAAUGGCAUAAGCCAGCUUGACUGCGAGCGUGACGGCGCGAGCAGGUGCGAAAGCAGGUCAUAGUGAUCCGGUGGUUCUGAAUGGAAGGGCCAUCGCUCAACGGAUAAAAGGUACUCCGGGGAUAACAGGCUGAUACCGCCCAAGAGUUCAUAUCGACGGCGGUGUUUGGCACCUCGAUGUCGGCUCAUCACAUCCUGGGGCUGAAGUAGGUCCCAAGGGUAUGGCUGUUCGCCAUUUAAAGUGGUACGCGAGCUGGGUUUAGAACGUCGUGAGACAGUUCGGUCCCUAUCUGCCGUGGGCGCUGGAGAACUGAGGGGGGCUGCUCCUAGUACGAGAGGACCGGAGUGGACGCAUCACUGGUGUU